Molecule: ribosomal RNA, 433 nt
Filed under: uncultured Clostridium sp.
Lineage: Bacteria; Bacillati; Bacillota; Clostridia; Eubacteriales; Clostridiaceae
Description: partial 16S ribosomal RNA
Rfam family: Bacterial small subunit ribosomal RNA
Source: RNAcentral
ACGGGAGGCAGCAGUGGGGAAUAUUGCACAAUGGGGGAAACCCUGAUGCAGCGACGCCGCGUGAGUGAAGAAGUAUUUCGGUAUGUAAAGCUCUAUCAGCAGGGAAGAAAAUGACGGUACCUGACUAAGAAGCCCCGGCUAACUACGUGCCAGCAGCCGCGGUAAUACGUAGGGGGCGAGCGUUAUCCGGAAUUAUUGGGCGUAAAGAGUACGUAGGUGGUUUGGUAAGCGUGAGGUGAAAGCCCGGGGCUCAACUCCGGUAAGCCUUUCGAACUGCCAGACUUGAGUGCAGGAGGGGAAAGUGGAAUUCCUAGUGUAGCGGUGAAAUGCGUAGAUAUUAGGAGGAACACCGGUGGCGAAGGCGACUUUCUGGACUGUAACUGACACUGAGGUACGAAAGCGUGGGGAGCAAACAGGAUUAGAUACCCUGGUA